RNAcentral lists this ribosomal RNA (486 nucleotides) under uncultured bacterium. RNAcentral's name for it is "partial 16S ribosomal RNA". It matches the Rfam family "Bacterial small subunit ribosomal RNA", at positions 28 to 507 of the family's 1533-position model. The record is from RNAcentral.
GAUGAACGCUGGCGGCGUGCCUAAUACAUGCAAGUCGAACGCUGGAAAUCUAGCUUGCUAGAUUGAAGGAGUGGCGAACGGGUGAGUAAUACAUAAGCAACCUACCCACGAAGACUGGGAUAAUCUCUGGAAACGGGGACUAAUACCGGAUAGGUAAUCGGAAGGCAUCUUCUGAUUAUUAAAGGUUAAAAACACUGGUGGAUGGGCUUAUGGCGCAUUAGUUAGUUGGUGAGGUAACGGCCCACCAAGACGAUGAUGCGUAGCCGGCCUGAGAGGGUGAACGGCCACAUUGGGACUGAGACACGGCCCAGACUCCUACGGGAGGCAGCAGUAGGGAAUUUUCGGCAAUGGGGGAGACCCUGACCGAGCAACGCCGCGUGAGUGAUGACGGCCUUCGGGUUGUAAAGCUCUGUUGUAAGGGAAGAACGGUAGAUAGAGAAUAUCUAAAUGACGGUACCUUACCAGAAAGCCACGGCUAACUACGUG